RNAcentral lists this ribosomal RNA (259 nucleotides) under uncultured prokaryote. Its description in RNAcentral is "partial 16S ribosomal RNA". It matches the Rfam family "Bacterial small subunit ribosomal RNA", at positions 524 to 782 of the family's 1533-position model. The record is from RNAcentral.
UACGGAGGAUGCAAGCGUUAUCCGGAUUUAUUGGGUUUAAAGGGUGCGCAGGUGGUUUAAUAAGUCAGUGGUGAAAGUCUGCCGCUUAACGGUAGGAUUGCCAUUGAUACUGUUGGACUUGAAUAUGGAUGAGGUAGGCGGAAUGUGUAGUGUAGCGGUGAAAUGUUUAGAUAUUACACAGAACACCGAUUGCGAAGGCAGCUUACUAAUCCAUGAUUGACACUGAGGCACGAAAGCGUGGGGAUCAAACAGGAUUAGA